Molecule: long non-coding RNA, 223 nt
Organism: Rosa chinensis
Lineage: Eukaryota; Viridiplantae; Streptophyta; Magnoliopsida; Rosales; Rosaceae
Exons: 3
Source: RefSeq, a predicted model, not a curated record
CCAACAUACUUUUGGACUUUGGUUUCUGAAUCAUACCAAUAGAGUUAUGGGAAUAUACCUCUGUAAGAUGUUCCUGAUUGGAAAUUUACCGUCUUUGACAGAGACAAUAGUGAUUAAGGGAAGAGUUUCACUGUAUCUUGUGGCGUUAGAGGAGAACUGGAUCCUCCUUGUAAUGUAGUGGGAUACAUUGAUGGACAAGUGUUGGGAAUCAAUCAUGUGUAUC